UGGGGAAUAUUGGACAAUGGGGGCAACCCUGAUCCAGCAAUGCCGCGUGUGUGAAGAAGGCCUUCGGGUUGUAAAGCACUUUAGGUGGGGAAGAAGCUAGGUAUUUUAAGAGAUAAUCUAGUUGACGGUACUCACAGAAUAAGCACCGGCUAACUCUGUGCCAGCAGCCGCGGUAAUACAGAGGGUGCAAGCGUUAAUCGGAUUUACUGGGCGUAAAGGGCGCGUAGGUUGUUGUAUAAGUGAGAUGUGAAAUCCCCGGGCUUAACCUGGGAACUGCAUCUUAUACUGUAUAACUGGAGUGCAAUAGAGGGUAGUGGAAUUUCCGGUGUAGCGGUGAAAUGCGUAGAUAUCGGAAGGAACACCAGUGGCGAAGGCGGCUACCUGGAUUGACACUGACACUGAGGCGCGAGAGCGUGGGGAGCAAACAG
RNAcentral lists this ribosomal RNA (428 nucleotides) under uncultured bacterium. Its description in RNAcentral is "bacterial SSU rRNA". It matches the Rfam family "Bacterial small subunit ribosomal RNA", at positions 355 to 775 of the family's 1533-position model. The record is from RNAcentral.